CCUGCAUAAUGUUAAAAAGUAACAAGAAAAAAUCAUGCUAAGAUUCUUAGUUAGAAAAAUAAUUCACAAUACCAAACUCAUGAAACUUAACAUUUCCUACAACUUUAUCUUUUCCUUUUUUUAAAAAAGUGAAAGCAUAGAACUAUAUAACCUUUCAUAUUUAACAAGUGGGUUUUUAAAAAAAUUGUUUUGCAGUAUUCUGCACACCUGGAAGAUGUCAAAAUCAGAGAUGGCUGUUUCAGAAGAGAAGUGGUGGUUGGAGGGGCUCAGAAACAGAUGGCCCAAAAUAUGGUGCUUUGACAUGCUGAACUGAAGAAGAAGCCUCAAGUUCUCUCUGACCUCCCCUACCCUGGAUGCCAAAUUCCCUAUCUCUCCUAAAGCACAGGAUGAGGUUGUUCUCUGAAGUUCCCUUAGCUGCCUGAGUCCAAACCUGCCAAAGAAGAAAACAGUGACCUUUGGUCCCUCUCCUGAGUGUUCAUUAACUGUACCCAUAUCGCAGGAAGAAAGACUGAAGUCCAUCAACACACUUGGACAGACUUUAGUCAAAAACCAUUGUCUGCUCUGCGGGCCCAACAGACUUUGUCCGAGGCCACUGUUACGUUCUCCAAGCCCAUUGAAUUCCCCUAAAAAUCAUUUUCUACUUGCUAAAAUCACCCACACUUCUCCAUCUCUCUUUCCUCUAGGAUGAAGGGUACGUAAUUAUCUUUACUCCUUGCACACUAAUAAAUGUGUAUGCCUUUUCUCCUAUUAA
This is a non-coding RNA of Homo sapiens (human), 751 nucleotides long. NCBI's taxonomy places the organism in Eukaryota, Metazoa, Chordata, Mammalia, Primates, Hominidae. The record is from RefSeq and is a predicted model, not a curated record.